RNAcentral lists this ribosomal RNA (497 nucleotides) under uncultured Glomeromycotina. RNAcentral describes it as "partial small subunit ribosomal RNA". It matches the Rfam family "Eukaryotic small subunit ribosomal RNA", at positions 591 to 1092 of the family's 1831-position model. Lineage: Eukaryota; Fungi; Glomeromycota. The record is from RNAcentral.
CCAAUAGCGUAUAUUAAAGUUGUUGCAGUUAAAAAGCUCGUAGUUGAAUUUCGGGAUUAGUACGUUGGUCGUGCCUUCGGUACGUACUGGUGUUACUGAUUCCUACCUUCUGAAGAACCAUCAUGUCAUUAAUUUGGUGUGGCGGGGAAUCAGGACUGUUACUUUGAAAAAAUUAGAGUGUUUAAAGCAGGCUCGCGCUUGAAUACAUUAGCAUGGAAUAAUGAAAUAGGACGUUGAUCCUAUUUUGUUGGUUUCUAGGAUUGACGUAAUGAUUAAUAGGGAUAGUUGGGGGCAUUAGUAUUCAAUUGUCAGAGGUGAAAUUCUUGGAUUUAUUGAAGACUAACUACUGCGAAAGCAUUUGCCAAGGAUGUUUUCAUUAAUCAAGAACGAAAGUUAGGGGAUCGAAGACGAUCAGAUACCGUCGUAGUCUUAACCAUAAACUAUGCCGACUAGGGAUCGGAUGAUGUUAUUUUUAAUGACUCAUUCGGCGCCUUACG